GGGGGCGAAACGGCUUCGACGAGGGUAAUGAGGCACGAGUUGCAUACCGAGGCCCCGGACCUCGCAAAAAUUCGGGAUAUUAAAUAUAAUCGCAGACGAUUAUAACUACGCCGUAGCAGCGUAAGCUACCGUCCGGGCGGGUCUCUUCUCGCGGAUCCGUCCAGGGGCGUCGACUAGCGGGAUAGCGGAUACCGGGCGCCUGAGCCGGGCUUCGCGAAUUUUUCUCAGGCUGGCCGCCAUCGUAUCCAGUCCGGUGGAGACGGUGCUGGUGAGAUCAAAUACCGGAAUAUGUAUGUAGACGCUCCUGUGGAAUGCUUUCGGACGCGGGUUCGACUCCCGCCGCCUCCACCA
Molecule: transfer-messenger RNA, 351 nt
Filed under: Patescibacteria group
Lineage: Bacteria
Also listed under: 1 other name
Description: p Patescibacteria X38 Standard tmRNA
Rfam family: transfer-messenger RNA
About the family: Bacterial tmRNA, also known as 10Sa RNA or SsrA, is named for its dual tRNA and mRNA-like properties. Its role is to liberate the mRNA from a stalled ribosome.
Source: RNAcentral